Non-coding RNA from Picea glauca (white spruce), 121 nucleotides. The record is from Rfam. Lineage: Eukaryota; Viridiplantae; Streptophyta; Pinopsida; Pinales; Pinaceae.
GCAUGCCUACAGCAUAGCAUUAAUGCACCGAAUCCCAUUAGAACUUUGCAGUUAAGCGCACUCCGGAUAGAGUAGUAAUGGGAUGGGUGACCGCCCAGGAAGUCUUAGUGUUUUACAUGCC